Molecule: non-coding RNA, 3101 nt
Organism: Monodelphis domestica (gray short-tailed opossum)
Lineage: Eukaryota; Metazoa; Chordata; Mammalia; Didelphimorphia; Didelphidae
Source: RefSeq, a predicted model, not a curated record
UACUUUUAUGAUUUCAGAAAGCUUACCUACUCUAAUUUUUGAAAGAUUUAUGAUGUUACAAUCAUUAAAAAGUAGUAUAAAGUUUUAAUUCACUUUAUAUAAUGCUACUGUGCAAUUGUAUUACUUUUUUGGAGAGGCAGUAGAAUUGUGGAGGGAGUAUAAGAAGGCUGGUGAAUAUUCUCAGAUUAUCUUCUACGGUCUUAAAGUCAAUGAAAGAAAUAGAUGAUGUUUGUUUUGUUUUGUUUUGGCUUUUUGGAGAAGCAGAUGCCUGCAAGAGAAUAAUAUACCCACCAGUUAGUCAGCUGCUUCAUCUGUCAUUUUUAUGAAGGGAUGUCAUGGUUGGACUGAGCAAAAUUGCCUGCAAAAAAACAUCUUGGAAAAAUAUCAGGAGAGAUUAAAGAAGAAAGAACAUAUACAGUCUCAAAUCACAUUAGUAGCCUAAAACAGUGCCCCUGAGUCACUUUCUUUAAAAAAUGAUUGAGUCAAAGUAGCAUUGAAGAGGACACAUUCCAAAUGUUAGCUAUUUACUUUUUUAAAGACUUGAUUAAUUAGUAAUUUACAAAGUAAGAUAGAAACACAAAGGAGGUAUUCAUGAAAAAAUGAUAUUCCUUCUUUCAGGAUUUAAUCAAACUCCUAAAAUUCCCAACGUUGAUCCCAGGAUUCUUGGCUAACAGCAUCAACUGCAAUGCUGAGGUUUAGGCUGGCUAUACUCUGAGGCUAGGGUUAGAGAGAAAUGAAUCUACUAAUACAUUAAGCCACUAUGUCAAUUUCUUACAACUUUGAAAAUAAAAUCUUUUUGAUCCUUUCUAAAGCAAAGUAAAUUUUGUCCCAGUCAUUUCAUCAUGCUGUUCUUCACAUCCCACCUCCCACCACCUUCCCUGUCUAGAAAGGGCCAUUGUCAAUGCUACAGCUUGGACUUUAGAGAUACAAAUUGAUUGGCAUGAUGUCAUUGAAAAAAUAAUUAAUACAGCCCAGAAUCAUGUAAUGAGAAUAAAAUGAAGGCUAGACUAGGAGGAAACAUUUCUUUUCAAAGUGAGAGAUUAACAGAGGUAUUUAGGGUUAGGGUUAGGGUAAAAUAGUUGCAUAAAUGAUCUUGGAAGAAAUUCUUAAAUUAUUUGAGAACACUGGAUAGCCACAGUAAUAACUCAUAUAAUGAAUGCAAGUGUUCAAUGUUUUGUGUAUCAUACAAUGCACAUUUUCUGUUUAAAAAAUUUAAGAGAAUUUUUUAAAUUACCAUAAAAUGAAGUUCAUGAAAUUUUAACUCAGUGAAUGAAUUGUAGAAAGUAUAUAGAAAAUAUACAAAUAAAGCUUUUCCAUGGUAAUUAACUACCAACAUCCAACUGUUUAAAAAUAUAAUCUUGAAACAAUGUGUUCUUGACAUGAAUACAUUAGUUGUAAAAUAUACUUCUUCCUUUGAAAGCCUAUUAGCAUUUUGGAGAGUUUUCCCACCUUUUGUUAAAUGAGGCUAUCAUUAAAUUUAAUUAAGGGUUAAGGGGUAGGGGAACAGAAGAUGAUUUUUAUUCCUGUGAUCUAUUUAGAGACAUCCCUUUGGCAUAAGAAAUUUUUUCUUGUUACAGUGGACACUAGAUAUUACCAAAAAACUUGGGCACUUCAACUGUUAGUAUGCAUGACUAAAAUUUUAAGGAGAUAUUGUAUAUGAUCAUAGUUUUUCCUCUGAGACCUUAAGCCAUUCUAUCAUGGUGAAUCUUUAAUGCUGACCCUUUACUUUUUCUUCAGAGAACUAUCACAUAUGAGACUUUAUAAUUCAGUACUAAUUCAUUUUUCACAUCAUUAAUGGCUGAAUUUUCUUUUGUUAUGUCUGAUGUAUGGCUUACAACAUACUGCCUUUUUAAAAAGAUUGUAACCUUGACUUAAUGAAGCAUUUUGUACCUUAGGGUUGCUUUCAUUUUUGUUUUGUUUUAAACCCUUACCUUCUGUUCUAGAAUCUGUAUUGGUUCCAAGGCAGAAAAGAAGUAAGAACUAAGCAGUGACUUUCCCAGGGUCACACAGCUAGGAAGUGUCUGAGAUCACAUUUGAACCCAGGACCUUCCAUCUCUAGGCCUGACUCUAAAACUACAGAACCACUUUGGUGCCCCGUACCUUAGUUUUUAAAAGUUGAUACACUGCUUACAUCACAGGAUUUAUGUCUGCAAAACAAAAUGCUACAUGUAUUUUCUAAGAUAAUGUUAAAGACAUUACACAUCAGUUUUCUUCUUCAGUUAUUUCAGUUAUAUCUUCUUCUCCAUGACCCAAUUUUGCGAUUUUCUUGGCAAGGAUACUAAAGCAGUUUGCCAUUUUCUUUUCCAGCUCAUUUUUUCAGAUGAGGAGCUGAGGCAAACAGUGUUAAGUGACUUUUCCAAGGUCACAUAUAUUUGAACUUGGGAUGAUGAGUCUUCCUGAGUCCAAGCCUAGUGCUAUGUCCACUGCAAUACCAAAUUGCCCAUAACAAGUUUCUCCUUCACAUCAAUCAUUUUAAAGCAUCAUACAUUAAGAGAUGAGGAAAUGCUUCCAAAAAUUGUUACUUUAAUGCCUUAGUUUGUUUUUAUUUUCAUGACUAUGUCUUCAUAUAUUCCAUUGUAAUUCAAGGCCUUAUUACAUCUCAUGUUGACCAUUGCAAUAACCUCUAAAUUGGUUUAACUAAAUCCAGUGUUCCUGGAAUCUAUUCCUUCUUCAAAGCAGUCAGAUUGAUUUUUCCAAACUACAGAUCUGAUCAUGUGGCCUUCCCUGUAUCAUUUCUCAAUUCUCACCUUUAUUAAGCAAACUCCAGUGCCUACAUCUAAUAUCAGAUAUAAAUUAAGGAGUUUGAACUGUCUCCAAUGCUUGUAAUAUGCCCCAUCUUUAGAAAGGAAUCUUUGUUUUCUUUUACUCCUCAGCUUUUGUUGCCUACUACACAAGGCUUUUCUUGAUCCUUUGUAUGAGUGACUCAUUUUUCUACAUGACUUUUUUCUGAAAAGAUAGAAUUUUCUUAAGGAGUUCUUUGCCAGAUAAAUUUUCAAAUGUAUUCAACAAACUUUUAUUAGGUACCUGUUCUGAGAUCAUGUGAUAGAGUGUAUGUUAAGAAUUUGAGAAUUUUAAGAUUAAAUAAAUGUUAUUCAUUAUUA